Molecule: non-coding RNA, 915 nt
Organism: Chiloscyllium plagiosum (whitespotted bambooshark)
Lineage: Eukaryota; Metazoa; Chordata; Chondrichthyes; Orectolobiformes; Hemiscylliidae
Source: RefSeq, a predicted model, not a curated record
UGAGGUCACAGUAGUCAGUUGAAGGUGUGAGUGAGAAAGCUGUCAGCUGGAAUUGCUAACCAGAAAAUAAUCUGCAAUCCCUGGAGACUCUACAUCAAACAUGGAGGCUUUCAGUCCUAGCAGGGCUUGAAAAGGAACACAAGCAAAAACCGAGAUGCUAGAGAUUGGAAAUGAAAAAACAGAAAGUGCUGGAGAAACUCAGCAGGAUCUGUGAAGAUAGAAACAGAGUUAAUAUUUCAAGUCUAAUGUGACCCUUCAUCUGAAUCUUCUGAAGAAAAGUCAUACUGAACCCAAAACAUUAACUCUGUUCCUCAGGUCAGAUUCAUUCCCAAGCACAAGGGGGUCAGAAGAGGUGUAACUGAAAGGGUCAGAGAUAAGUUGUGGGUUAUAACUGGUGAUCUCAGGUUAUAACAAUCUAGCGCUAAGUGAUCUGCAACGGGGUGACUACCGAACCAGGCUGGACUCGAGCGAUUGGCCGUGAGAUGGCAUUGCAGAGGAGUGUGUAGGAGACUGACUCACGCAGGGGAGAAAUCGGGCCCAGGGUGGAGGAGAGUGAGUCCAGAAUGGAGGAACACAUGCCUGGCGUGGAGGAGUGUGUGUCCGGCGUGGAGGAACAUGAACCCAGCGUGAAGGAAUGUGAGCCCAGGAGUGAAGGAGAGCAAGCCCGGCGUGGAGGAGUGUGUGCCCGACGUGCAGGAGAGUGAGACCUCAUGGUAGAACAUCUGCAGACCCAUGGCUAAAGAAGGACUAUAGUUCUUUGUUUUUUCUACUUUAUAUUAAAAAAGACUGUAAUGUUUAAUUUUUAACUUAUUUGUUUAUUUUUCUACUUUGUACCCGGAUACCUUUGCACUAAGAUGGCACCGGGUUUGGUGCCAUUGCAUACUUUACACUGUCCUCCCCUACCCCUGCACUUGA